RNAcentral lists this ribosomal RNA (482 nucleotides) under uncultured bacterium. Its description in RNAcentral is "partial 16S ribosomal RNA". It matches the Rfam family "Bacterial small subunit ribosomal RNA", at positions 30 to 507 of the family's 1533-position model. The record is from RNAcentral.
AUUGAACGCUGGCGGCAUGCUUUACACAUGCAAGUCGAACGGUAACAGGCCGCAAGGUGCUGACGAGUGGCGAACGGGUGAGUAAUGCAUCGGCACGUGCCCAGUCGUGGGGGAUAACUACUCGCAAGAGUAGCUAAUACCGCAUACGAUCUAUGGUUGAAAGCGGGGGACCGUAAGGCCUCGCGCGAUUGUAGCGGCCGAUGUCAGAUUAGGUAGUUGGUGGGGUAAAGGCUCACCAAGCCAACGAUCUGUAGCUGGUCUGAGAGGACGACCCGCCACACUGGGACUGAGACACGGCCCAGACUCCUACGGGAGGCAGCAGUGGGGAAUUUUGGACAAUGGGCGCAAGCCUGAUCCAGCAAUGCCGCGUGCAGGAAGAAGGCCUUCGGGUUGUAAAAUGCUUUUGUACGGAACGAAACGGCUCUGGUUAAUACCCGGGGCUAAUGACGGUACCGUAAGAAUAAGCACCGGCUAACUACGUG